This 497-nucleotide ribosomal RNA is filed under the name uncultured bacterium. Its description in RNAcentral is "partial 16S ribosomal RNA". It matches the Rfam family "Bacterial small subunit ribosomal RNA", at positions 28 to 507 of the family's 1533-position model. The record is from RNAcentral.
GAUGAACGCUGGCGGCGUGCCUAAUACAUGCAAGUCGAGCGAACAGACGAGGAGCUUGCUCCUCUGACGUUAGCGGCGGACGGGUGAGUAACACGUGGAUAACCUACCUAUAAGACUGGGAUAACUUCGGGGAACCGGAUCUAAUACCGGAGAAUAUAUUCAACCGCAUGGUUCAAUAGUGAAAGACGGUUUUGCUGUCACUUAUAGAUGGAUCCGCGCCGCAUUAGCUAGUUGGUAAGGGAACGGCUUACCAAGGCGACGAUGCUUAGCCGACCUGAGAGGCUGAUCGGCCACACUGGAACUGAGACACGGUCCAGACUCCUACGGGAGGCAGCAGUAGGGAAUCUUCCGCAAUGGGCGAAAGCCUGACGGAGCAACGCCGCGUGAGUGAUGAAGGUCUUCGGAUCGUAAAACUCUGUUAUUAGGGAAGAACAAAUGUGUAAGUAACUAUGCACGUCUUGACGGUACCUAAUCAGAAAGCCACGGCUAACUACGUG